Molecule: ribosomal RNA, 467 nt
Filed under: uncultured bacterium
Lineage: Bacteria
Description: partial 16S ribosomal RNA
Rfam family: Bacterial small subunit ribosomal RNA
Source: RNAcentral
GACGAACGCUGGCGGCGUGCUUAACACAUGCAAGUCGAACGGAAAGGCUCCAGCUUGCUGGAGUCCUCGAGUGGCGAACGGGUGAGUAACACGUGGGUAAUCUGCCCUGCACUCUGGGAUAAGCCUGGGAAACUGGGUCUAAUACUGGAUAUGACCUUUCUCCUUAUGGGGUUUGGUGGAAAGUUUUUCGGUGUAGGAUGAGCCCGCGGCCUAUCAGCUUGUUGGUGGGGUGAUGGCCUACCAAGGCGACGACGGGUAGCCGGCCUGAGAGGGUGAUCGGCCACAUUGGGACUGAGAUACGGCCCAGACUCCUACGGGAGGCAGCAGUGGGGAAUAUUGCACAAUGGGCGGAAGCCUGAUGCAGCGACGCCGCGUGAGGGAUGACGGCCUUCGGGUUGUAAACCUCCUUCAGCAGGGACGAAGCGUAAGUGACGGUACCUGCAGAAGAAGCACCGGCUAACUAUGUG